Molecule: ribosomal RNA, 253 nt
Filed under: uncultured bacterium
Lineage: Bacteria
Description: partial 16S ribosomal RNA
Rfam family: Bacterial small subunit ribosomal RNA
Source: RNAcentral
UACGGGGGGGGCAAGCGUUGUUCGGAAUUACUGGGCGUAAAGGGCGCGUAGGCGGCCUGCUAAGUUGGAUGUGAAAACUCUGGGCUCAACCCAGAGCCUGCAUUCAAUACUGACGGGCUAGAGUACUGGAGGGGAAAGCGGAAUUCCUGGUGUAGCGGUGAAAUGCGUAGAUAUCAGGAGGAACACCGGUGGCGAAGGCGGCUUUCUGGACAGUAACUGACGCUGAGGCGCGAAAGCUAGGGGAGCAAACAGG